Non-coding RNA from Gossypium hirsutum (cotton), 144 nucleotides. Lineage: Eukaryota; Viridiplantae; Streptophyta; Magnoliopsida; Malvales; Malvaceae. The record is from Rfam.
UAUUUAAAAUUUCAUCUAUUUCUAUUCUUAGAAAUCGGUGUGGCUGAAGAAAUAACCAAAUAAUGACACAUUGCAUGCCACGUGUACCUUAUGUGACAUAUAGAGACCAGUUUUUAAAAGUAAAAAUAAAUGAAUUUUUAAAAA